RNAcentral lists this small RNA (16 nucleotides) under Arabidopsis thaliana (thale cress). RNAcentral describes it as "ATSL167190". Lineage: Eukaryota; Viridiplantae; Streptophyta; Magnoliopsida; Brassicales; Brassicaceae. The record is from RNAcentral.
UAAACGACAAACAAUG